AAUGAGCGCUGGCGGCGUGGUUAAGACAUGCAAGUCGAACGGUUUUCAUUGAAGGGCAACCGGAUAUGAAAGCAGUGGCGAACGGGUGCGUAACACGUGAACAAUCUACCUCCAAGUGGGGAAUAGCUCGGCGAAAGCCGGAUUAAUACCGCAUGUGGUGGUCUCUCGCAUGAGAGACUGACUAAAGACAGGGACCGCAAGGCCUGUCGCUAGGAGAGGAGUCGCGGCCUAUCAGCUAGUUGGCGAGGUAACGGCUCACCAAGGCUAAGACGGGUAGCUGGUCUGAGAGGAUGAUCAGCCACACUGGAACUGAGACACGGUCCAGACACCUACGGGUGCAGC
Molecule: ribosomal RNA, 342 nt
Filed under: uncultured bacterium
Lineage: Bacteria
Description: bacterial SSU rRNA
Rfam family: Bacterial small subunit ribosomal RNA
Source: RNAcentral